UCGAGCCAUUUAGAACAAAGAAAAAUAUCUUCCACGGAAUAAUUCAAGUUAUUAUAUGAAAUAAGAUAAAACCAGUUGUCCUGUUUAAUCGUACAAUGUCAAGAAAAAGAUAUAUCGGCUAAUGUGAAGAAGAAGAUAAAUCUUUUACUGUUAUAUUCAAUAUGAUUGAUGAUAUAUAAAUUUCAUCAAAAUAGAUACCUUAGUUUCGAUAAUUAUGCGUUCUUCCAGAUGAAUUAAUUUGCAUUGAUCCACGUAACAAAUACACGUAUAAUCUCCACGAUCAUUUUCAUUUUAUGAUACACUAUAUCGUAAGUCCUUGGUAAUAAGAUAAUAACGUAAAUUAAUAGAUACAAUUGUUUCAAAAUUAACAGAGAAUUUCAGACCGUUCUUUAGAUCCGACUUCUCUGUUAUCGAUUUCUACGAGCAUGAUAUAAUUAGAGGUGAUAAAGCGAGCGAGAGAGAGAGAGAGAGAGAGAGAACGAUUCAAUGUUUCAUGACUAAGAACGAGAAUAAAGAGAUGACAAAUAUCUUAUCUUAGCUACUAAGGUCCAGGGAAAAGCAGAUGCCUGGUUCCCGCGGACGCAUCAGCGCGCAAAUAGAAUCGGUUGAUUCAAAAUUUAGCACUCCCUUCUUCUAAUGGAAAAGAAACGGUAGUACCGUGGAAGAAUGAAAGAGGGAUCUUUCCAGAUGGUCGGAGCUGAAUUUAAGUCGUGAAAGAAAGAGAGAGAUAAAGAGAGAGAGAGAGAGUGAGAGAAAAAGAGAGAGAUCUAGGAAGGCAUGAAAAAUAUUACGAACUAAGGAGAAACUUCCAAAAAAAAAAAGAAGAAAUAAAAAAGAAAAAGAAAAAAUGUGCAUCGAAGAAUUUACUUUUUUUUACGAAAUAAAUCAAACGUCGGAAACGUACGAAUUAUCUCGAAAAUAUUUGUUAUCGCGUAAAAGAAGAAAGAGAUAGGAGCAUGGAAAAUGGUAAUCGACGUUCAGAGGAUGAUUAAAGGGCACUUUGAGUAACCACAUCUCCCGAGUAACAUUAGCUAUAAUUAAGUGGCUACCUUACAUUAAUUAGAUGUCGCGCUCACGGUCCAACACUGAUUAGACAAUCAAGUAAAGGAAAGGAAAAUGAAAAGGGAAUUAGACAAUUUAAUUGAAAUUUCUUCGACGUUAUCAAGAAUAUCAUUAAAAUUUUAAUCAAAAUAACGAUUAAUAAUGUUUAAACCAAUAUAUUUCUCACUUAUUUCUGAAAUAUUUCGAUAAAUUAAUAGUAUCGUGCAAAUAAAAAUUUGAUUAAACGAUCGAAUCGUUCGUCUGGAGUUACUCGAUUGCUUUUCCAUUCAUUCGUCUUUUUAGUUCUUUUAAUGAAAUUUUCCAAAAAAGAAAAUAAAAGAGAAAUAAAUAAAGAAAGAAAGAAAGAAAGAAAGGAAGGAAGGAAGGAAGAGAGAGAGAGAGAAGAAAUAGGAGCGAACCUAAUUCUCGUAAAUUCUAUUGAAACGGUCGAGUGAAUUUUCCGUUGGACGCAAAGAAACGAUAGAUAGACGUAGUAGAAUGAAACGAAGCUCGAAACAGAAGUGACCAAUUGCUUGGAAUCGAUGCACCCAAAAUGCAUUAUUUUAUAUUCGUAUCAUCGAUACAAACAAUUCAUCCGAGUGUUCGAUCUUUCGGUUGGUUGAAGUUCAAAAAUGAAAACGUAAUCGAAAAGAACAAAGAUCGUUUAUUAAAUCAUCGAUGCGCCAUCAGCUGUGUCUGCCAUUAAUUAGCCCGGCGACACGUGCAUCCGCGAGUUACCGAAACGUGUGCAUACGCUCUCGAAUUCAUCCUAGUGUUCACGAUAUUACUGUCGCAUCGAGAAACUUCGAAUGCACCGUUACACCCGAUAGAAAGCGUUCAUUCAUUAAGGAUUUAACAACGCGUUUCAUAUCUCGACUCGGACGCAUUCACUAUCCGAUUUUUCUCAUUUCCUUUUCUAUAAUAUAGCGGUACAUAUCUUAUCCUUGAUAAUACUCGGAUCAAAAGUAAACACUUUUAAUCUUGCACUUAAAUAAGGUUUAAUCGCGCUCGAUCGUAAUUUCUUUUUUACGACAGUGCAUUUUUAGAAAGGCUUUACUAGUCAUCGAAAGAUCGACAAAUAUUUUUCACAUGCGGGUAGAACCCGUAUAUAAAAGGAAAGAGGAAGAUAGGAGGAAAAAAAGGAAAAAAAAAAGAAGGAAGAGCAGGUAAAUACGAGUAAUGAAUGCAACGCGUGGAUGAAUACCAGAUGCAAGUGGUAUCGAUGAAAAGAGCAAAAGUAAGAGGAUAAAGGGACAUGGGAAAAUGGGGGAAAAAAAAAGAAAAAAAGAAAAUAAAUAAAUAAAGAAGAAAAGAAAAAACAAGGAGAAAAAGAGAAAGAAACACAAAACUGCAAAAAAAAGGAAAAAAAAACGGAGUAUGAUAAGGGUGAUGAAUGUAAACUCGCAAAAGGCAAAAAAUAGUAGAAUGAAAUAGAAAAAGAAAAAGAAAA
Vespula vulgaris is the source of this 2491-nucleotide long non-coding RNA. RefSeq lists it as uncharacterized. The transcript has 2 exons. The record is from RefSeq and is a predicted model, not a curated record. Lineage: Eukaryota; Metazoa; Arthropoda; Insecta; Hymenoptera; Vespidae.